This 150-nucleotide small nuclear RNA is filed under the name Microcebus murinus (gray mouse lemur). RNAcentral describes it as "U4 spliceosomal RNA (ENSMICG00000021656.3)". It matches the Rfam family "U4 spliceosomal RNA". From Rfam's summary of the family: U4 small nuclear RNA (U4 snRNA) is a component of the major U2-dependent spliceosome. The structure of U4 snRNA from yeast and human has been reported. U4 snRNA presents a k-turn RNA motif in the 5p-SL related to recognition of Snu13 protein. The record is from Rfam by way of RNAcentral. Lineage: Eukaryota; Metazoa; Chordata; Mammalia; Primates; Cheirogaleidae.
GGCUUUGCACAGUGGUAGUAUAGUAGCCAAUGGUAGCCAAUGAGGUUAACCAAGGCACGAUUAUUGCUAACUAAAAACUUUUCCCAAUACCCUGCCAUGACAACUUGCACUAUAGUCAGCAUUGGCAAUUUUUGAUGGUCCCUACAGGGC